RNAcentral lists this non-coding RNA (30 nucleotides) under Mus musculus (house mouse). Lineage: Eukaryota; Metazoa; Chordata; Mammalia; Rodentia; Muridae. The record is from RNAcentral.
UACGCUCUUUUCCUCAAAGACACAGCUGUA